This 1749-nucleotide long non-coding RNA is filed under the name Salmo salar (Atlantic salmon). Its description in RNAcentral is "lncRNA (ENSSSAG00000090017.1)". Lineage: Eukaryota; Metazoa; Chordata; Actinopteri; Salmoniformes; Salmonidae. The record is from RNAcentral.
UCUGCCCUAUAGCAUGCAUCUGUCUAUUGGAGCUGGUUAGUAUGUCUAGGUAAUCGAGUCAAACUUGGCUUUUUUUAAAUGUAGCACGUAGUAAAACUGCAUAAACCUAAUGUCAAGUUAAAGUGUAUUGUUAGCUAGCUAACGUUAGCUGGCUGGCUCGCUAGUUGCUAACGUUAUGUGUAUGCGCUCCACUUUCUGGAGGACCGAGUUUUGAAAUCAGUGGAAUUCGAGUAUGAUAGCUAAGGAGAUGGAGAAAACACCAGUCUGGAUUACAUCAUCAAACUAAGGGCAACCAUGCAUGGCAUCAGACAGGAGACGCGUCCAACCAUGAUGUAUACUGGGCCGGGGGGUGAGACAGGGAUGCAGCUUAAGCCCCAGCAUCUUCAACGUAUAUAUCAACGAAUUGGCGAGGGCACUAGAACAGUCUACAGCACCCGGCCUCACCCUACUAGAAUCUGAAGUCAAAUGUCUACUAAUGGCGGUGGAGGGGAUUGCUACCGUUUUCACAGGCUCCUAACCAACUGUGCUAUUUUGUUUGUUUUUUCGCUUUGUUUGUAACUCAUUUUGUACAUAAUGUUGCUGAUACCAUCUCUUAUGACCGAAAAGAGCUUCUGGGCAUCAGAACAGCGAUAACUCACCUUGAACAGGGUGCCUUGUAAGAGUUUGCACUCCCUGUAGGCUGACUCAUCAUUAUUGGUAAUCAGGCCUACUACUGUUGUGUCGUCUGCAACCUUGAUGAAUGAGUUGGAGGCGUGCGUGGCCACGCAGUCAUGGGUGAACAGGGAGUACAGGAGGGGGCUGAAAACACACCCUUGUGGGGCCCCUGUGUUGGGGAUCAGCGAAGUGGAGGUGUUGUUUCCUACCUUCACCACCUGGGGGCGGCCCAUCAGGAAGUCCAGGACCCAGUUGAACAGGGUAGGGUUCAGACCCAGGACCUCAAGCUUAAUGAUGAGCUUGGAGGGUACUAUGGUGUUGAAUGCUGAGCUAUACCCAAUGAACAGCAUUCUUACAUAGGUAUUCCUCUUGUCCAGAUGGAAUAGGGCAUUUUGCAGUGUGAUGGCGAUUGCAUUGUCUGUGGAUCUACUGGGGCGAUGAGCAAGUUGAAGUGGGUCUAGGGUGUCAGGUAAGGUAGAGGUGAUAUGAUCCUUGACAAGUCUCUCAAAGUACUUCAUGACUUACUACAGACAACAAAGGGAAACCCAGCCGUGAGCUGCCCAGUGAUGUGAGCCUACCAGACGAGCUAAAUGCCUUGUUUACUCACUUCGAAGCAAGCAACACUGAAGCAUGCAUGAGAGCACCAGCUUUUCCGGACGACAGUGUGAUCACGCUCUCCAUAGCCGAUCAACUCUACUCCCACUUGUCUCCAAUUCCACAUCCUAACCCUCAGCUUCCCUCAGCCCCUCCCACCUAUCUCUGCUAGCCACCCUCUUCGGAUUUCUACGCAACAUAUAUCUUUCAACUAUGCUGUGAUGUUUAACGUACAAUUUCAAUCUUUCUAAUUGAAUAGAAUCCACAGAUUGCAAGUUGAAGAUUAAUACCUUUACUAAGGGUAUUAGUAUAUUAGUAAUUGACUGACCCGGUCUCUCCAGACCUCCUAACAGUACUAUUUCUAGGGUCAAUUUUAGAUCAAUGCUAUGCAUUUUUCGCCAUUCCUGAACCUGAGACAAGAAACAGGCUACCAAAAUAAAUGGUCUAUUGAUUCUGUAUCCUCACAACAAAAUCUACAGAGCUUCAAUGAUUUUAUGCCCC